GAUGCACGCUAGCUACAGGCUUAACACAUGCAAGUCGAGGGGAAACGACAUCGAAAGCUUGCUUUUGAUGGGCGUCGACCGGCGCACGGGUGAGUAACGCGUAUCCAACCUGCCCAUCACUUGGGAAUAACCUUGCGAAAGUAAGACUAAUACCCAAUGAUAUCCCACGAAGGCAUCGGAAUGGGAUUAAAGAUUUAUCGGUGAUGGAUGGGGAUGCGUCUGAUUAGCUUGUUGGCGGGGUAACGGCCCACCAAGGCAACGAUCAGUAGGGGUUCUGAGAGGAAGGUCCCCCACAUUGGAACUGAGACACGGUCCAAACUCCUACGGGAGGCAGCAGUGAGGAAUAUUGGUCAAUGGGCGAGAGCCUGAACCAGCCAAGUAGCGUGCAGGAAGACGGCCCUAUGGGUGGUAAACUGCUUUUAUAAGGGAAUAAAGUGGGUCACGUGUGACUUUUUGCAUGUACCUUAUGAAUAAGGACCGGCUAAUUCCGUG
Molecule: ribosomal RNA, 492 nt
Filed under: uncultured bacterium
Lineage: Bacteria
Description: partial 16S ribosomal RNA
Rfam family: Bacterial small subunit ribosomal RNA
Source: RNAcentral